CAAUAGCGUAUAUUAACGUUGUUGCAGUUAAAAAGCUCGUAGUUGGAUUUCUGGAGGGAGCGUCGGCCCGAAUUUACGAGUGCGUGACGUCUCUGUCCAUCCUUGCGGGAAGGCACGGCAUUGAUUUGUUGUGUCGGAUCGCAUCAUUUACUGUGAAAAAAUUAGAGUGUUCAAAGCAGGCUUUCGCUUGAAUACAUUAGCAUGGAAUAAUAAGAUAGGACUUUGGUGCUAUUUUGUUGGUUGAGCCUAAAGUAAUGAUUAAUAGGGAUAGUUGGGGGCACCUGUAUUGCGUUGUCAGAGGUGAAAUUCUUGGAUUUACGCAAGACAAACAGCUGCGAAAGCGUCUGCCAAGGAUGUUUUCAUUAA
Molecule: ribosomal RNA, 366 nt
Filed under: uncultured eukaryote
Lineage: Eukaryota
Description: partial 18S ribosomal RNA
Rfam family: Eukaryotic small subunit ribosomal RNA
Source: RNAcentral